CCAAUAGCGGAUAUGCCUGUGGGGGCAGUUAAAAAGCUCGUAGUUGAAUUUCGGGAUCAGUACGUUGGUCGUGCUUUCGGGUAUGUACUGGUGUUACUGAUUCCUCCCUUCUGACGAACUAUCAUGACAUUUACUUGGUGUGGUGGGAAAUCGGGACUGUUACUUUGAAAAAAUUAGAGUGUUUAAAGCAGGCUCACGCUUGAAUACAUUAGCAUGGACUAAUGAAAUAGGACGUUGAUCUUAUUUUGUUGGUUUCUAGGAUUGACGUAAUGAUUAAUAGGGAUAGUUGGGGGAAUUAGUAUUCAAUUGUCAGAGGUGAAAAUCUUGGAUUUAUUGAAGACUAACUACUGAGAAAGCAUUUGCCAAGGAUGUUGUCAUUAAUCAAGAACGAAAGUUAGGGGAGCGAAGACGAUCAGAUACCGUUUUAGUCUUAACCAGAAACUAUGCCGACUAGGGAUCGGAUGAUGUUAAUUUUUUUAAUGACUCAUUCGGCGCCUUACG
This 501-nucleotide ribosomal RNA is filed under the name uncultured Glomeromycotina. Its description in RNAcentral is "partial small subunit ribosomal RNA". It matches the Rfam family "Eukaryotic small subunit ribosomal RNA", at positions 591 to 1092 of the family's 1831-position model. The record is from RNAcentral. Lineage: Eukaryota; Fungi; Glomeromycota.